ACGGAAGGCAGCAGUGGGGAAUAUUGCGCAAUGGAGGCAACUCUGACGCAGCAACGCCGUGUGCAGGAUGACGGCCCUAGGGUUGUAAACUGCUUUCAGUAGGGAAGAAGUAAUUGACGGUACCUACACAAGAAGCUCCGGCUAACUACGUGCCAGCAGCCGCGGUAAUACGUAGGAAGCAAGCGUUAUCCGGAUUUAUUGGGCGUAAAGCGCGCGCAGGCGGGUGUUUAAGCGGAUCUUCUAACCCGAGGGCUCAACCCCCGGUCGGGAUCCGAACUGGACAUCUUGAGUGCGGUAGGGGCAGGCGGAAUUCCAUGUGUAGCGGUGAAAUGCGUAGAUAUACGGAGGAACACCAGUGGCGAAGGCGGCUUGCUGGACGACAACUGACGCUGAGGCGCGAAAGCGUGGGGAGCAAACAGGAUUAGAUACCCUGGUA
RNAcentral lists this ribosomal RNA (436 nucleotides) under uncultured Butyricicoccus sp. RNAcentral's name for it is "partial 16S ribosomal RNA". It matches the Rfam family "Bacterial small subunit ribosomal RNA", at positions 341 to 792 of the family's 1533-position model. The record is from RNAcentral. Lineage: Bacteria; Bacillati; Bacillota; Clostridia; Eubacteriales; Butyricicoccaceae.